This 484-nucleotide ribosomal RNA is filed under the name uncultured bacterium. RNAcentral describes it as "partial 16S ribosomal RNA". It matches the Rfam family "Bacterial small subunit ribosomal RNA", at positions 30 to 507 of the family's 1533-position model. The record is from RNAcentral.
AUUGAACGCUGGCGGCAGGCCUAACACAUGCAAGUCGAGCGGAUGAAGGGAGCUUGCUCCUGGAUUCAGCGGCGGACGGGUGAGUAAUGCCUAGGAAUCUGCCUGUUAGUGGGUGAUAACGUCCGGAAACGGGCGCUAAUACCGCAUACGUCCUGAGGGAGAAAGUGGGGGAUCUUCGGACCUCACGCUAUCAGAUGAGCCUAGGUCGGAUUAGCUAGUUGGUGGGGUAAAGGCCUACCAAGGCGACGAUCCGUAACUGGUCUGAGAGGAUGAUCAGUCACACUGGAACUGAGACACGGUCCAGACUCCUACGGGAGGCAGCAGUGGGGAAUAUUGGACAAUGGGCGAAAGCCUGAUCCAGCCAUGCCGCGUGUGUGAGGAAGGUCUUCGGAUUGUAAAGCACUUUAAGUUGGGAGGAAGGGCAGUAAGUUAAUACCUUGCUGUUUUGACGUUACCAACAGAAUAAGCACCGGCUAACUUCGUG